RNAcentral lists this small nuclear RNA (129 nucleotides) under Marmota monax (woodchuck). Its description in RNAcentral is "U2 spliceosomal RNA". It matches the Rfam family "U2 spliceosomal RNA". Rfam says of the family: U2 is a small nuclear RNA (snRNA) component of the spliceosome (involved in pre-mRNA splicing). Complementary binding between U2 snRNA (in an area lying towards the 5' end but 3' to hairpin I) and the branchpoint sequence (BPS) of the intron results the bulging out of an unpaired adenosine, on the BPS, which initiates a nucleophilic attack at the intronic 5' splice site, thus starting the first of two transesterification reactions that mediate splicing. The record is from Rfam by way of RNAcentral. Lineage: Eukaryota; Metazoa; Chordata; Mammalia; Rodentia; Sciuridae.
ACUGCUUCUCAGUCCUUUGGCUAAGAUCAAGUAUAGUAUCUGUUCUUUUCAGUUUAAUAUCAGGGUCACAUCUUGAACCCUGGCUUCAUUUUCCAGCUUCAUGUACCAGGUUCCAUGCUAACAUCUCUU